CCCGCGGUACCUCCCGCUCCCGUUCCUCCUUCGGGCCGGCCUUCCGGGAUGCCCAGACCGGUUCCGGAGUGACGGUGCUCGCUCUCUCCCUCUCUACCCCGUGCUCCCAGGCCCCCCCACACGCCAUUUACAGGCUGGUGGCUUGUGGUGGACCUUCUCCGCCCUCACCCCGCCCCGUCACCGAGAGCGCGCGCCCGGGAACCAAUCAGCAGCCGCCUUAGGUGACCAUGUCUGAGUCUGGGCACAGUCAGCCUGGGCUCUACGGGAUAGAGCGGCGGCGACGGUGGAAGGAGCCUGGCUCCGGCGGCCCCCAGAACCUCUCUGGGCCUGGCGGUCGGGAGAGGGACUACAUCGCACCGUGGGAAAGAGAGAGACGGGAUGGCAGCGAAGAGACAAGCACGUCGGUCAUGCAGAAAACCCCCAUCAUCCUCUCCAAGCCUCCAGCAGAGCGGUCAAAGCAGCCACCACCUCCUACAGCGCCCGCGGCCCCGCCUGCCCCAAGCCCUCUGGAGAAGCCCAUCGUCCUCAUGAAACCCCGGGAGGAGGGCAAAGGGCCUGCGGCCACCACCACUGCCUCAACCCCCGAGGGCUCCGCCCCCCCACCUCCCGCCGCCCCUGCGCCACCCAAGGGGGAGAAGGAGGGGCAGAGACCCACACAGCCUGUGUACCAGAUCCAGAACCGGGGCAUGGGCCCUGCCGCGCCGGCAGCCAUGGAUCCUGUCGUGGGCCAGGCCAAACUGCUGCCCCCGGAGCGCAUGAAGCACAGCAUCAAGUUGGUGGAUGACCAGAUGAACUGGUGCGACAGUGCUAUUGAGUACCUGUUGGAUCAGACUGAUGUGUUGGUGGUCGGCGUCCUGGGCCUCCAGGGGACAGGCAAGUCCAUGGUCAUGUCGUUGUUGUCAGCCAACACUCCCGAGGAGGACCAGAGGGCGUAUGUUUUCCGGGCCCAGAGCGCCGAAAUGAAGGAACGAGGGGGCAACCAGACCAGUGGCAUCGACUUCUUUAUUACCCAAGAGCGGAUUGUGUUCCUGGACACACAGCCCAUCCUGAGCCCCUCCAUCUUGGACCACCUCAUCAACAACGACCGCAAGCUGCCUCCAGAGUACAACCUGCCGCACACCUACGUGGAGAUGCAGUCACUCCAGAUUGCAGCCUUCCUCUUCACGGUCUGCCACGUGGUGAUUGUCGUCCAGGACUGGUUCACGGACCUCAGUCUGUACAGGUUCCUCCAGACAGCAGAGAUGGUGAAGCCCUCCACCCCGUCCCCCAGCCACGAGUCCAGCAGCUCCUCAGGCUCUGAUGAAGGCACUGAAUACUACCCCCACCUGGUCUUCCUGCAGAACAAAGCUCGUCGAGAGGACUUCUGUCCCCGAAAGCUGCGGCAGAUGCACCUGAUGAUCGACCAGCUCAUGGCCCACUCCCACCUGCGCUACAAGGGUACUCUGUCCAUGUUACAGUGCAACGUCUUCCCUGGGCUCCCGCCCGACUUCCUGGACUCUGAGGUCAACUUGUUCCUGGUGCCCUUCAUGGACAGCGAGGCGGAGAGUGAGACCCCCCCACGAGCGGGUCCUGGUUCCAGCCCGCUCUUCUCCCUGCUCCCUGGGUACCGUGGCCACCCCAGUUUCCAGUCCUUGGUGAGCAAGCUCCGGAGCCAGGUGAUGUCCAUGGCCCGGCCACAGCUGUCACACACCAUCCUCACUGAGAAGAACUGGUUCCACUACGCUGCCCGGAUCUGGGACGGUGUGAAAAAGUCCUCUGCCCUGGCGGAGUACAGCCGCCUGCUGGCCUGAGGCCGAGGGGGGAUGUCAUGCAGGGAACCCCUCCUGGGUCCCCAGUGGAUGGCGAAGGAUCACAUACGUUCUCCCCGCUAGUGGGGUGGAGAGUGGCAGCAGGCCUGAUGGACGAGGGACCACGACUUCCUCACCCGGAGAUGUGUCCAGUGCCAGGCCCCCCACCCUCAGUAGAGUGUUGGUCGGGGUGACUGAGGUCCCACCCCCAACCUGGGACGGGGAAGCCCAUCCUCAGUCCCCCACAGGGUCGGGUGGUGGGCGGAGCCAGAGUGGUCACCAGGAAGGCCAGGCUCCAUCUUUACCUCCCUCUGCAGGGACGAGAGCAACGGGUCCCUCUUCCCUGACGCCAAGCCCUUUCCUGUCAGGAUCUCGCAGGUCAGCCGGGCUUGGUUGGCCGUGAAGCGCUCUGACGUCACCAUGAUGAUGAUGAAGUCGUAAUGGUCCAGCAGCGCCCACUGGAGGCUGAGUUCGGGUCCUCAUCUCCCAGCCCCCAGAUGGCGUUGACAAAGGUCACCUUGCCUGGGAAUGCCAAUGUCCGGCCUGACAUUCUCCAGCAAAUGAAGUGUGGCCUGCAACGUGGCGGCUACUGCUGGCAGGCUCCCCGCCUCAAAGGCCUCCUUGAGAGCCCCAGUGUCCCUCAGCAGCUCCGAUACCCUGGCCUGGCUGAGGCUCUGUUGGAAGACUGCCUGCCAUGGGCUGCCUGGCCCUGGUUCUCCAUCUCCAGGACCUGAUGACCAUUGACAGGACAGCCUGCACCAGAGCCAGGACGUGGGCCAGCUCCCGCGGACCCUUCUGCCGUGUAAACCACCCACUCCUUGCACAAUUGAGCACCCUCUCACGGUGUGUAAAGACCCCAGCGGAUGCCACAGUUCUAGCACCAGGAAGACAGAGCCGUGGGCCUGGGGCAUUUGUGGAAGCAUUGCCCACCCUCGCUGCCUGGCCUCUGAGCUCCUGCAUCUGCUCGGGAACUGCAGUGCAUACCUACGCCAGUCCCGUCCCGCCUCUGGGCCUCAGAGUCCUCCCUGAAGGGUCCAUGUGAACCCCAGUAGUCCUGGCAGAGCCGAUGCGGGUCCGGAAAGAGAGGAGUCCUCCUGCAAAGCACAGAGCUCUUCAGCCAGGAGCACCGGCACCCCGUUUAAUCCUCCAGCUCUCGAGAAUGUACUUGAGGAGGAGGCCAAGCUUCCUGCGGGCCGAGAGCGGGGCUUCCUCGCUGACUCCUUCCCCGGACGCCCGCUUUUCCACUCCAUUGUCACCCGCCGCCUCCAAGCUGACCUCCG
RNA transcript from Equus quagga, 3067 nucleotides. It is a transcript of the gene named SMG9 nonsense mediated mRNA decay factor, with no coding region annotated. The transcript is spliced from 19 exons. The record is from RefSeq and is a predicted model, not a curated record. NCBI's taxonomy places the organism in Eukaryota, Metazoa, Chordata, Mammalia, Perissodactyla, Equidae.